CCGGGUGGCGACCGGCGCACGGGUGAGUAACGCGUAUGCAACUUACCUAUCAGAGGGGGAUAACCCGGCGAAAGUCGGACUAAUACCGCAUGAAGCAGGGGCCCCGCAUGGGGAUAUUUGCUAAAGAUUCAUCGCUGAUAGAUAGGCAUGCGUUCCAUUAGGCAGUUGGCGGGGUAACGGCCCGCCAAACCGACGAUGGAUAGGGGUUCUGAGAGGAAGGUCCCCCACAUUGGUACUGAGACACGGACCAAACUCCUACGGGAGGCAGCAG
RNAcentral lists this ribosomal RNA (271 nucleotides) under uncultured bacterium. RNAcentral describes it as "partial 16S ribosomal RNA". It matches the Rfam family "Bacterial small subunit ribosomal RNA", at positions 84 to 354 of the family's 1533-position model. The record is from RNAcentral.